This 705-nucleotide long non-coding RNA is filed under the name Lonchura striata (white-rumped munia). RNAcentral describes it as "domestica (Bengalese finch) lncRNA (ENSLSDG00000004169.1)". Lineage: Eukaryota; Metazoa; Chordata; Aves; Passeriformes; Estrildidae. The record is from RNAcentral.
UUGACUUGUGAGAGAGAGAUUGUCUUGCACAUGUUGGGGUUGAUAAGAGAAGACAGUCAGACAGCCAUUCAAAGAUCAUGAGUGACAGAAGCAUGGAGGGACAGGAACCAUGUGUCCCACAUACAUGGAAAAGUCUGCACCCACUUUCAGUGUUUGGUUUUCACUGCUACAGUCUCUGCUGUUUUCAAGUUCUUAUGAACUUGUGAUGCUAUUGUGGCAGGCGGCAAAACAAAUGGAGAUUCCUGGGAACUGCACAGUUCAGCACACUUAAAGGGAGAAAAGGGAGACAGAGGUGCUCCAGGACCACCAGGUCCACCUCUGCCUCCAUCAUAUUUCAGCCAUUUUAUUAAUAGCAUAAAGGGUGAAAAAGGAGACAAUGGAGUCACCGGUGUAAAAGGAGAAAAAGGAGAACCAAAUGGAGGGUUUUUUCUGACAGGACCUCCUGGACCACCUGGAAGACCAGGAUUAAUUGGACCAAAAGGGGACUCAGUUGUUGGGCCCAGAGGACCUCCAGGAUUACCUGGACUACCUGGCUUACCAGGUUAUGGAAAAAUUGGACCUCCUGGCCCACCUGGACCACCUGGACCACCAGGCCCCCCUGCAAUAUAUGGCUCAGGUGAGCUUUUCAGUGCAUAUGCAAGUGUACAGCUACAUGCCCACAACCCACACAUGACCAAUUUUUCAUACCUGCCCACCCUCUCUGCA